RNAcentral lists this ribosomal RNA (492 nucleotides) under uncultured bacterium. RNAcentral describes it as "partial 16S ribosomal RNA". It matches the Rfam family "Bacterial small subunit ribosomal RNA", at positions 29 to 507 of the family's 1533-position model. The record is from RNAcentral.
AGUGAACGCUGGCGAUAGGCCUAACACAUGCAAGUCGAACGGCAGCACAGUAAGAGCUUGCUCUUACGGGUGGCGAGUGGCGGACGGGUGAGGAAUACAUCGGAAUCUACUUUUUCGUGGGGGAUAACGUAGGGAAACUUACGCUAAUACCGCAUACGACCUACGGGUGAAAGCAGGGGAUCUUCGGACCUUGCGCGAUUGAAUGAGCCGAUGUCGGAUUAGCUAGUUGGCGGGGUAAAGGCCCACCAAGGCGACGAUCCGUAGCUGGUCUGAGAGGAUGAUCAGCCACACUGGAACUGAGACACGGUCCAGACUCCUACGGGAGGCAGCAGUGGGGAAUAUUGGACAAUGGGCGCAAGCCUGAUCCAGCCAUACCGCGUGGGUGAAGAAGGCCUUCGGGUUGUAAAGCCCUUUUGUUGGGAAAGAAAAGCAGCAGGUUAAUACCCCGCUGUUCUGACGGUACCCAAAGAAUAGGCACCGGCUAACUUCGUG